AUGCAUGUGAACAACCAGGGUGAACAUCCCGGAAUUCUUUCAGGAGCUGCUACACCUAGAGUGAUACUAUUAAAAAGAGCUGGCAUGGGACAACCAAAUGCUGGAGGAUGUUCGCAAGCAGUGCAUCAGGAUGUAACAGCCCUGCUGUUCUGGGUAAUGGGAGCGGGUGCUGCGAGGACAGUAGCACGAAAUGAGAUGAAGUCUUGGGAAAAGCAGUGUGAGGAGUAUCUUUCUGAGCUUCUGAACACUGACGUGGGCUGUGUGAGGCAGAACCUUACAGGGUUAAAAGUCUGAUCCGACGCCUGCUGUACACACAGUCAUCAAGUGAGCGCAGCGAACGCCUCUCAGAACACAAAGCAAUAUCAGGCAGACAGCAGAUCAAACAAGCCCCAGCCGCCAGGGGAGGCAACCAGUAGGGCCGUGCUUCCCACUGAUUUCCCCAGCCCUUACUUGGUGGGGAAAGGGUUAUUAAACCCUUUUGCUUUGCUCUAAGUGCUGCAAAUAGAACGAUAAAUCCAAAUAACGAGGUGCAUGCUGUUCCCCCAUCUGUAUGUGCUGCGGAUGACAGGCAGGGACCAAACAUGGAAAGGAAUCUGUAAGUAUAGCUGGAGGCUAUUGUGUCCAGCAUGGAGCUGACUCCUGCAGCGUGUUAAGGUGUACACCUUGUUCUUGUGUCGUGCAUCCUGCAGCUGUAGCUGCCCUUGUCUUGUAAGUGAGGCUGUUCUUCAUGCCAGGGUGCUCUGUGCCAGUGACCCCCACCCAUCCCUUUUUGUGGCUCAGCACCCACUCAGACAAGCUACAGAAAAGAGAGGUGGUAUUCUGAGAUCAGAACAGCAGUCUGCAAACUUUUCAUUUUGCAACCACAUCCCUGAUUUCCCCCUGAUUUCCCCCUCUUCAGCCCCAUUAAGGAAGGUGACAAGUACAAUUGCACCAGGAAGGGCCAUGUCCCCCAUUGCAGUCCCUGUGGAUUAUUAAGCCCAGCCCAUAGGGACCCUUGGCCACAAACAGC
Molecule: long non-coding RNA, 1009 nt
Filed under: Chrysolophus pictus (golden pheasant)
Lineage: Eukaryota; Metazoa; Chordata; Aves; Galliformes; Phasianidae
Description: lncRNA (ENSCPIG00010002948.1)
Source: RNAcentral